AUUGAACGCUGGCGGCAGGCCUAACACAUGCAAGUCGAGCGGAUGAGAGGAGCUUGCUCCUCGAUUCAGCGGCGGACGGGUGAGUAAUGCCUAGGAAUCUGCCUAGUAGUGGGGGACAACGUUUCGAAAGGAACGCUAAUACCGCAUACGUCCUACGGGAGAAAGUGGGGGAUCUUCGGACCUCACGCUAUUAGAUGAGCCUAGGUCGGAUUAGCUAGUUGGUAGGGUAACGGCCUACCAAGGCGACGAUCCGUAACUGGUCUGAGAGGAUGAUCAGUCACACUGGAACUGAGACACGGUCCAGACUCCUACGGGAGGCAGCAGUAGGGAAUAUUGGACAAUGGGCGAAAGCCUGAUCCAGCCAUGCCGCGUGUGUGAAGAAGGCCCUCGGGUCAUAAAGCACUUUAAGUUGGGAGGAAGGGCUUACAGCGAAUACCUGUGAGUUUUGACGUUACCGACAGAAUAAGCACCGGCUAACUUCGUGCCAGCAGCCGCAGUAA
This 500-nucleotide ribosomal RNA is filed under the name uncultured bacterium. RNAcentral describes it as "partial 16S ribosomal RNA". It matches the Rfam family "Bacterial small subunit ribosomal RNA", at positions 30 to 523 of the family's 1533-position model. The record is from RNAcentral.